UACGUAGGGGGCAAGCGUUGUCCGGAUUUACUGGGCGUAAAGAGCGUGUAGGCGGCCAAGCAGGUCCGUUGUGAAAACUGGAGGCUUAACCUCCAGACGUCGACGGAAACCGCGUGGCUAGAGUCCGGAAGAGGAGAGUGGAAUUCCUGGUGUAGCGGUGAAAUGCGCAGAUAUCAGGAAGAACACCGACGGCGAAGGCAGCUCGCUGGGACGGUACUGACGCUGAGGCGCGAAAGCGUGGGGAGCGAACAGG
RNAcentral lists this ribosomal RNA (253 nucleotides) under uncultured bacterium. RNAcentral describes it as "partial 16S ribosomal RNA". It matches the Rfam family "Bacterial small subunit ribosomal RNA", at positions 524 to 776 of the family's 1533-position model. The record is from RNAcentral.